This 220-nucleotide long non-coding RNA is filed under the name Elaeis guineensis (African oil palm). Its description in RNAcentral is "long non-coding RNA (EGUI_LNC059644)". The record is from RNAcentral. Lineage: Eukaryota; Viridiplantae; Streptophyta; Magnoliopsida; Arecales; Arecaceae.
CAUCAGAUAGGGCUUUGGGACAUGUGGAUGUGGAAGAGGAAAAGCAGUCCUUCUCUAAGAAGGAACUCCAUGCCAAAAUAAAUAGGGAUGCCAUACUUUUAUGCGAUGAGAAGUGAAAGAGUCCAAUUCUUUUAAAACUCUUAAUUUCUUCUUUUAUUUCUCCAUGAGUUUUUUAUUUCAUCAUGUCAUAUGAUGGCUCUUUGAAUUAUGGAUGUAGAAG